Helianthus annuus (common sunflower) is the source of this 4401-nucleotide RNA transcript. RefSeq lists it as uncharacterized. The transcript has 9 exons. The record is from RefSeq and is a predicted model, not a curated record. NCBI's taxonomy places the organism in Eukaryota, Viridiplantae, Streptophyta, Magnoliopsida, Asterales, Asteraceae.
AGGUUGUGGUCAUCUGAAAUUCUGAAUCGGAGAUUAGGGUUCAGUAUUUUAAUAUACCAUCACGCAAUCUCAAUUGAUCUGGAUAAUCAAUUCAAUCAAGCAGGCUACAGGGGAAGGGCAAUCAGGUUUGUUUGUUUGAUUUAUUGAUCCAAUUGUGAUUUGAAGUAUGAGACAAUCACUUUCUCUGUGAUCGUUUAAUUAUGCAAAUUCAUUUAAGUGAUCAGGUAGUCUUGAUUAUUUUAUUCGUUUAAUUGCAACUGGGUUUGUAAUCUCCUCGCAAGAAUGGGAAUCCUAGACUUUUCAUCAUCAUGGAACUUAUAAGCCAUGACCAGGUCAUAACCUGUGAGCUCAAAAACCUCCUGGACCAUCAUGUCACAUAGCCGUUCAAUGCUGCCACUAGGCAGAGACUGUAGCCUAGCUAUCGCUUUGCCUGCGUAUUUGUAAGACUGUAGAGAACCCGCAUCUGUCGUUGGGGUUUCAUUAGGCAUAACGGGGCUCGAAAUCUAUGAUCAAACUACCCGUUACCCGAUGGAUAAUCGCAUAAAACGGCUUCCCGAGUUUUUUACAGUGGACCAAAUGGGAUUUGGCAAAGACUCUGCCACACCGCCAACUCGACGCCGUAUCACGGUUCUGCUAAACUACUUGCUGAAACAUUUUAUUUGUUUAUCCAAUUCAAGUCCCAGACACGCCUUCACGCAUCGCGUACCGCCACUAUCGUUUCUGGGUUUUCAAAAGUUACGUCACCAUUUGGACAGGGGAAUCAAUUCAAGGAUAAUUUUGCAAAUUCUUCUGCUCAAGAUUUGGAUUUUGCAAUGCCAUUGGGUAAGAGCUGGACUAAAAUCACUAAUAAGGUAGAUCCAGUGUUCAUUAAUGGAGCGAUAGCUUUUGCAGAAAGGGGUAAAACAUAUGUUGAUAGUGAAGGUAGGAUACAUUGCCCGUGUAAAAAGUGUGUGAAUGCAAGAAGACAUGUUCCCACAGUCGUUGCUGAUCAUAUCAUCUAUAAUUGUUUUGAACCAUCAUACAAUGUAUGGAUUCAUCAUGGUGAACAUCUUCCGAGUUAUGAAACAGAUGAUACAGAUAGUGACUAUGAAGAAAGUGAAAACGAAUCAAAUGACGGUGUCAAUGAGUUACUUGAUGAUGUUUUUCCUACGGGCGACGAAUCUGAAGCUGAAAACUUCAUGGACGGUGUCAAUCUACGUAAUAACCCAAAGGUGGAAAAGUUAUUUGUCGAUAUGGAGAAGCCUUUAUACCCCGGGUGUGAUAAGUUUUCUGUACUAGGCUUUUUACUAGAGUUGAUGAACGUGAAGGUAACAUGCAAAAUGACAAACGUGUCAAUGGAUAUGAUUCUGAAUUUAUUUAGUCGGGCCUUCAAGGAUGCGCAAACUUGCCAAAAAACCAUUAUGAGGCGAAAAAGUAUUUACGUACUCUUGGACUAGGAUACGAAUCUAUUCAUGCUUGUAAACAUGAUUGUGCAUUAUUUUGGAAAGAAAAUGCAGAAUUACAAAAUUGCCCCGUGUGUGGCACUAGUCGUUAUAAGGAAAAUAGUAAAGGGAAGAAAAAACCGGUAAAAAAUUUGCGUUACUUUCCCAUCACAAGUAGACUUAAGCGCUUAUAUGCCUCAAGACACACUGCUAAGGAAAUGUUGUGGCAUGAUAAAUACAGAACCAAAGAGGAGGGGGUUCUUAGACAUCCAGCAGAUGGAAAGGCAUGGAAACACUUUGAUACAAUGUUUCCUGAUUUUGCAAAGGAUCCUAGAAAUGUUCGCCUAGGGCUUGCAAGUGAUGGUUUCAAUCCGUUUGUUGCAAAGAGUCUCUCCUAUAGUAUGUGGCCUGUUGUGCUCAUAACAUACAAUAUGCCUCCUUGGAAGUCUAUGGUCGAUGCUUCAUUUAUGUUGACAUUGCUGAUUCCUGGAAGCGAUUCACCAUGUAAUGAUAUUGAUGUAUUUUUUGCGUCCACUAAUAGAUGAGUUGAAACUUCUGUGGGAUAAGGGUGUUGAAACAUAUGAUUGUGAAUCAAAACAGAAAUUCAACAUGCGUGUUGCACUUCUAUGGACAAUUAAUGAUUUUCCUGCGUACAGUUAUUUGUCUGGAUGGAGCACGAGUGGAUAUAAGGGAUGUCCAAUAUGCAAUGAAGAUGCGAGCAGUAUACGUUUACGAGAUAGAAUAGGAUAUGUAGGUCAUAGGCGAUUUCUCCCGACCGAUCACUCUUGGAGGAAAGCACGAGAUUUUAAUGGACAGAGAGAGACUAGGCUUGCACCUAAAAUUGUCAACGGAGAUGAUUGCUUACAUCAGUUGAAACAUCUCCCUAUACAUCAGCAUGGAAAACAUCCGGAUCAUGUUGGUAAAAAGAGAAAACGAAACUCACAUGAUAUAAACUGGUCAAAGAAAAGCAUCUUCUUCGAACUCCCAUAUUGGCCUAAGUUAUUGAUUCGUCACAACAUUGACGUGAUGCAUGUGGAAAAAAAUGUGUGUGAGAAUGUGUUGGAAACCCUAUUAAACAUAGAAGGAAGGACGGAAGACACUGACAAUGCCCGACUAGAGUUGGAAGAUAUGAACAUACGUAAAGAGCUUCACUUGGUUAGAAAGAAUGAUCAUUGGGUUAAACCACAUGCUUUGUAUGUUUUAACUCGAGAUGAGAGAAAACAAUUUUGUAAUUUACUUAGCUCUGUGCGUUUCCCAGAUGGGUAUGCUGGAAAUUUAGCUAAAAAUGUGAUUACUGAGCAAGGUAAGGUACAUGGGCUAAAAUCACAUGAUUGUCACGUCUUAAUACAACGCCUAAUUCCUAUUGCAAUCCGUCACUUUAUGACAAAACAGAUUCGUGAGGCAUUAGUGGAGUUGUCUCAGUUUUUCAAGAAACUUACUCAAGUCACAUUACACGUGAAUGAGUUGGAAGCGUUGCAAAAAGAUGUAGUUAUGAUUUUGUGCAAGCUUGAACGUAUAUUUCCCCCAUCAUUUUUUACAGUUAUGGUGCACUUGUGUGUGCAUCUUCCUCAAGAGGCUAUUUUGGGAGGACCUGUACAAUCGAGGUGGAUGUAUCCAAUCGAAAGAUACCUUGGCCAUUUAAAAAAAUAUGUUAAAAACUUAGCUAAACCCGAAGGCUCGAUAGUAGAAGGUUAUGUUGUUGAAGAAGCUAUAACAUUUUGUUCACACUAUUUACGAGGUGUUGAAUCCAAGUUAGACAAACGUGAUAGAAAUGAUGACAAAACCUCUAGUGAUGCUCAAAGUUGUGCGUUGGAUGUUUUUAGAUUGAAUGGUCGAGGUAUUGGGAAGAAAGAAGUACAUAUCCUUCCUAGUAAUCUUAUGAAAAAAGCAAUAUGGUUUAUCUUCAACAAUUGUCAAGAGGUUCAGCCGUACUUAGAAGAACACUUGCGGUUUUUACAAAUGCAACAUCCGGAAUCAUCAGAUUUUUACGAGAUGCAACAGUCUACAUUCUCGACUUGGUUUGCAAAACGGAUUCAAGAGAUGUAUGCGCUAAAUCCAUCUCAAAUUAAUGAAGAGUUAUAUGCAUUGUCUUGCCUUCCUGAUAAUCGGGUAUCGUCACACAGGGGUUAUAUCGUGAACGGGGUAAAAUUUAUAGUUAAGUCAAACGACGACGGUAGACAAACACAAAAUUGUGGAGUUACGGUACCUGGCGUUCAUAAUGAUAUCGAAGAUGACUAUUAUGGAUUUCUUGACGAAGUCAUUGAAUUGUCAUUUAUAAGAGGUUAUCGUAUUAUAUUAUUCAAAUGCACAUGGUUUGAUAUUGAUUGUCGAAGAAAGAACGUGAUAUUUGAACCUCAUUUUAUAAGCAUAGACACGUCUCGGCAUGCUUACAAGGAGGAUCCUUUCAUCUGUGCAAACCAGGCUAAACAAGUGUUUUAUAUAAAUGAUCCACUUAAACCAAAUUCACAAUAGAAAAUCAUUGAAAGAAUUACCCACAUACACUUGUGGGAUAUUCCAGAAGACAAGAAUGCAGAAGAUUUGUUAGAAGAUGUCAACCUUCACCGUAAAGAUGUUGAAGAAGAAAUUGUUGAAAAUGUUGAUGUUGAUGGCACUAUAGAUGAUUUUAUCAAUGACAAGCUAGAUGAUUCUGAUCAUAGCAUGGAAGAUUUUGGUUCAAAGUCAAAUCUGGAUGAUUCAGACACUGAUAAACCCAAUAAUGAAAUGGAAAAUGAUGAGACAGACGAUGAUGAUUGGUAAAAGUGAGAAGUAUCAAGAAAGGAAUUACAUUGAAGGAAAAAAGUAGAAGUAUCAAGAAAGGAAUUACAGAAGGAUGAAUUUGGAAGAAGCUUAUCUUAGAGACUUGUGCUAUUUGGACUUAUGAAGGUUGUUGAUAUGUUGUAGUAGGUUGAUUUGGAUGCUAAUGAUCUUAUUUUGUACUUUGUUGAACUUUGAACUUGUUUUAUAUUUUGUUAAAAUUGAU